RNAcentral lists this transfer RNA (53 nucleotides) under Escherichia coli M718. RNAcentral's name for it is "partial tRNA-Ser". It matches the Rfam family "tRNA", at positions 23 to 71 of the family's 71-position model. From Rfam's summary of the family: Transfer RNA (tRNA) molecules are approximately 80 nucleotides in length. Their secondary structure includes four short double-helical elements and three loops (D, anti-codon, and T loops). Lineage: Bacteria; Pseudomonadati; Pseudomonadota; Gammaproteobacteria; Enterobacterales; Enterobacteriaceae. The record is from RNAcentral.
GCACCGGAUUCUGAUUCCGGCAUUCCGAGGUUCGAAUCCUCGUACCCCAGCCA